Molecule: transfer RNA, 87 nt
Filed under: Fidelibacterota bacterium MT.SAG.2
Lineage: Bacteria; Pseudomonadati; Fidelibacterota
Description: Candidatus Marinimicrobia bacterium MT.SAG.2 tRNA-Leu
Rfam family: tRNA
About the family: Transfer RNA (tRNA) molecules are approximately 80 nucleotides in length. Their secondary structure includes four short double-helical elements and three loops (D, anti-codon, and T loops). Further hydrogen bonds mediate the characteristic L-shaped molecular structure. tRNAs have two regions of fundamental functional importance: the anti-codon, which is responsible for specific mRNA codon recognition, and the 3' end, to which the tRNAs corresponding amino acid is attached (by aminoacyl-tRNA synthetases). tRNAs cope with the degeneracy of the genetic code in two manners: having more than one tRNA (with a specific anti-codon) for a particular amino acid; and 'wobble' base-pairing, i.e. permitting non-standard base-pairing at the 3rd anti-codon position.
Source: RNAcentral
GCCGAAGUGGUGGAACUGGUAGACACGCUGUCUUGAGGGGGCAGUGCUCUAACGGGUGUGCGGGUUCGAAUCCCGCCUUCGGCACAA